Molecule: ribosomal RNA, 776 nt
Filed under: uncultured marine archaeon
Lineage: Archaea
Description: bacterial SSU rRNA
Rfam family: Archaeal small subunit ribosomal RNA
Source: RNAcentral
CUGACUGCUAUCGGAUUGAUACUAAGCCAUGCGAGUCAUUGUAGUAAUACAAGGCAGACGGCUCAGUAACGCGUAGUCAACCUAACCUAUGGACGGGAAUAACCUCGGGAAACUGAGUAUAAUGCCCGAUAGAACAUUAUGCCUGGAAUGGUUUAUGUUCCAAAUGAUUUAUCGCCGUAGGAUGGGACUGCGGCCUAUCAGUUUGUUGGUGAGGUAAUGGCCCACCAAGACUAUUACAGGUACGGGCUCUGAGAGGAGUAGCCCGGAGAUGGGUACUGAGACACGGACCCAGGCCCUAUGGGGCGCAGCAGGCGAGAAGACUUUGCAAUGUGCGAAAGCACGACAAGGUUAAUCCGAGUGGUUUCUGCUAAAGGAACCUUUUGACAGUCCUAGAAACACUGUUGAAUAAGGGGUGGGCAAGUUCUGGUGUCAGCCGCCGCGGUAAAACCAGCACCUCAAGUGGUCAGGAUGAUUAUUGGGCCUAAAGCAUCCGUAGCCGGCUCUGUAAGUUUUCGGUUAAAUCUGUACGCUCAACGUACAGGCUGCCGGGAAUACUGCAGAGCUAGGGAGUGGGAGAGGUAGACGGUACUCGGUAGGAAGGGGUAAAAUCCUUUGAUCUAUUGAUGACCACCCGUGGCGAGGGCGGUCUACCAGAACACGUCCGACGGUGAGGGAUGAAAGCUGGGGGAGCAAACCGGAUUAGAUACCCGGGUAGUCCCAGCUGUAAACCAUGCAAACUCAGUGAUGCAUUGGCUUGUGGCCAAUGCAGUGCUGCA